Molecule: ribosomal RNA, 465 nt
Filed under: Vibrio sp.
Lineage: Bacteria; Pseudomonadati; Pseudomonadota; Gammaproteobacteria; Vibrionales; Vibrionaceae
Description: bacterial SSU rRNA
Rfam family: Bacterial small subunit ribosomal RNA
Source: RNAcentral
CCUACGGGUGGCUGCAGUGGGGAAUAUUGCACAAUGGGCGCAAGCCUGAUGCAGCCAUGCCGCGUGUAUGAAGAAGGCCUUCGGGUUGUAAAGUACUUUCAGCAGUGAGGAAGGUGGGUAUGUUAAUAGCAUACUCAUUUGACGUUAGCUGCAGAAGAAGCACCGGCUAACUCCGUGCCAGCAGCCGCGGUAAUACGGAGGGUGCGAGCGUUAAUCGGAAUUACUGGGCGUAAAGCGCAUGCAGGUGGUUUGUUAAGUCAGAUGUGAAAGCCCGGGGCUCAACCUCGGAAUUGCAUUUGAAACUGGCAAACUAGAGUACUGUAGAGGGGGGUAGAAUUUCAGGUGUAGCGGUGAAAUGCGUAGAGAUCUGAAGGAAUACCGGUGGCGAAGGCGGCCCCCUGGACAGAUACUGACACUCAGAUGCGAAAGCGUGGGGAGCAAACAGGAUUAGAUACCCUAGUAGUC